This 726-nucleotide ribosomal RNA is filed under the name Pseudomonas sp. RNAcentral's name for it is "bacterial SSU rRNA". It matches the Rfam family "Bacterial small subunit ribosomal RNA", at positions 23 to 744 of the family's 1533-position model. The record is from RNAcentral. Lineage: Bacteria; Pseudomonadati; Pseudomonadota; Gammaproteobacteria; Pseudomonadales; Pseudomonadaceae.
CUCAGAUUGAACGCUGGCGGCAGGCCUAACACAUGCAAGUCGAGCGGAUGAGAGGAGCUUGCUCCUCGAUUCAGCGGCGGACGGGUGAGUAAUGCCUAGGAAUCUGCCUAGUAGUGGGGGACAACGUUUCGAAAGGAACGCUAAUACCGCAUACGUCCUACGGGAGAAAGUGGGGGAUCUUCGGACCUCACGCUAUUAGAUGAGCCUAGGUCGGAUUAGCUAGUUGGUAGGGUAAAGGCCUACCAAGGCGACGAUCCGUAACUGGUCUGAGAGGAUGAUCAGUCACACUGGAACUGAGACACGGUCCAGACUCCUACGGGAGGCAGCAGUGGGGAAUAUUGGACAAUGGGCGAAAGCCUGAUCCAGCCAUGCCGCGUGUGUGAAGAAGGCCCUCGGGUCGUAAAGCACUUUAAGUUGGGAGGAAGGGCUUACAGCGAAUACCUGUGAGUUUUGACGUUACCGACAGAAUAAGCACCGGCUAACUUCGUGCCAGCAGCCGCGGUAAUACGAAGGGUGCAAGCGUUAAUCGGAAUUACUGGGCGUAAAGCGCGCGUAGGUGGCUUGAUAAGUUGGAUGUGAAAUCCCCGGGCUCAACCUGGGAACUGCAUCCAAAACUGUCUGGCUAGAGUGCGGUAGAGGGUAGUGGAAUUUCCAGUGUAGCGGUGAAAUGCGUAGAUAUUGGAAGGAACACCAGUGGCGAAGGCGACUACCUGGACUGACACUGAC